UUUCUAUCCACGGGAUUAGUUUAAUUAAUGUAAUAUUAAAUCACAACAAAAGGUGCAUCAACAAAAAUAAUAAGUUGGUUGUUUAGCUACGUAUUAAUUAAUUUAAUCAUGAAUUGUUGAAUGGAUAGAAUCACACUUAUCUACUGACCAAACAUACAAGAAAGUUUAUCGAAAAAAAGCUUAGUUUAAUUCAAAUAAUUCAAUACUCCUCGGCCAGCAUUCCAAACACUCAACAUCUUUUCAAACACUUCUAUUUGUAUAAUAUUGUCAUCAAGGCUAUAUCACAUAAAGCUUGAAUAAAAUUGUCUGAUGUGGUUUUACUAUUGAUAAUUUAGUCAAAUUUUGAAUUAUUUUGGCUACUGUAGCGCAGAAAAAAUGUUUUUAGGUGAUUUUAGAUGAUAGCAUUGUUACUCAACAUCCAGUCAAGAAAAAUUAAUGUAUACCUGUUGAAAAAACAUAUUCAUGUUUAAAUGAAUGUUUAAAAUUAAUUAUAUUUAUAUCACAGAAGACAGCUGAAUUCCAAUUCAAUAAUUAUAAUAUUAGACUAUUUUUUGUCAAACAAUAUAAAUUCUGACCUACAAGAUGGAACAAUUUAAGUGCAAAUUAGUAAUAAUAAUACUAUGUAUUCAAUGUGCAAAAUAUAAUUCAAAAGAUUAGUGGAUAAUUUAUACAGAAUAGGUUUGAUUGAUAGAUAUUUGGAAAAGCA
This is a long non-coding RNA of Rhopalosiphum maidis (corn leaf aphid), 706 nucleotides long. RefSeq lists it as uncharacterized. NCBI's taxonomy places the organism in Eukaryota, Metazoa, Arthropoda, Insecta, Hemiptera, Aphididae. The transcript is spliced from 3 exons. The record is from RefSeq and is a predicted model, not a curated record.